AGCCUGAUGCAGCCAUGCCGCGUGUGUGAAGAAGGCCUUCGGGUUGUAAAGCACUUUCAGUCAGGAGGAAAGGGUGUGAGUUAAUACCUCACAUCUGUGACGUUACUGACAGAAGAAGCACCGGCUAACUCCGUGCCAGCAGCCGCGGUAAUACGGAGGGUGCGAGCGUUAAUCGGAAUUACUGGGCGUAAAGCGUACGCAGGCGGUUUGUUAAGCGAGAUGUGAAAGCCCCGGGCUCAACCUGGGAACUGCAUUUCGAACUGGCAAACUAGAGUGUGAUAGAGGGUGGUAGAAUUUCAGGUGUAGCGGUGAAAUGCGUAGAGAUCUGAAGGAAUACCGAUGGCGAAGGCAGCCACCUGGGUCAACACUGACGCUCAUGUACGAAAGCGUGGGGAGCAAACGGGAUUAGAUACCCCGGUAGUCCACGCCGUAAACGAUGUCUACUAGAAGCUCGGAACCUCGGUUCUGUUUUUCAAAGCUAACGCAUUAAGUAGACCGCCUGGGGAGUACGGCCGCAAGGUUAAAACUCAAAUGAAUUGACGGGGGCCCGCACAAGCGGUGGAGCAUGUGGUUUAAUUCGAUGCAACGCGAAGAACCUUACCUACACUUGACAUACAGAGAACUUACCAGAGAUGGUUUGGUGAUUCGGGAACUCUGAUACAGGUGCUGCAUGGCUGUCGUCAGCUCGUGUUGUGAGAUGUUGGGUUAAGUCCCGCAACGAGCGC
RNAcentral lists this ribosomal RNA (725 nucleotides) under marine bacterium W06. RNAcentral describes it as "bacterial SSU rRNA". It matches the Rfam family "Bacterial small subunit ribosomal RNA", at positions 380 to 1099 of the family's 1533-position model. The record is from RNAcentral.